GACGAACGCUGGCGGCGUGCUUAACACAUGCAAGUCGAACGGUGAAGCGCCUUCCUUUUUGGUGGGUGUGGAUGAGUGGCGAACGGGUGAGUAACACGUGAGUAACCUGCCCCCUUCUUCUGGAUAACCGCAUGAAAGUGUGGCUAAUACGGGAUAUUCUGGGUCUGUCGCAUGAUGGGUCUGGGAAAGAUAUUGUUUCGGUGGGGGAUGGGCUCGCGGCCUAUCAGCUUGUUGGUGGGGUGAUGGCCUACCAAGGCGGUGACGGGUAGCCGGCCUGAGAGGGUGGACGGUUACACUGGGACUGAGACGCGGCCCAGACUCCUACGGGAGGCAGCGGUGGGGAAUAGUGCACAGUGGGAGCAAGCAUGAUGCAGCGACGCCGCGUGAGAGAUGGAGGCCUGCGGGUUGUGAACCUCUUUCGCCAGUGAAGCAGGCCUGCCUCGUUUGUGGGUGGGUUGACGGUAGCUGGAGAAGAAGCGCCGGCUAACUACGUG
This 494-nucleotide ribosomal RNA is filed under the name uncultured bacterium. Its description in RNAcentral is "partial 16S ribosomal RNA". It matches the Rfam family "Bacterial small subunit ribosomal RNA", at positions 28 to 507 of the family's 1533-position model. The record is from RNAcentral.